GCGCACGGGCCCUGUGAGCGAUCGCGGUGGGCUUGGGCUGGUGACGCGUGCGCCGGCCGGCCGCCGAGGGGCUACCGUUCUGCCUCCGACCGGUCGUGUGUGGGUUUACUCGGAGAAAUACUAGGCUUUAGAAUUUCACCAUAUGAAUUUUGGGAGAGAGGAGCACAGUUCAGCCCAUAACUAACACACGUGAUGAAGAAGACAUGCCAACAGAGGGUUAAUUCCAGAUAAAAUGAAAUGUUCCAAACAACGGAAUGAAGUUGAUAAUAGUGAGACCUUGUUGGUACAAGACUAUGUAACAUAACCUGCGCUUCUCAACAAAGAAUUGCUUUUCUGACUUCUGCACUCAAUAGCAAGACAAAUCUCUCCUCUGCCUUCUCCUUAUCAGACUACUCAACAUGAAGGCAAUAAGAAUGAAGACCUCUAUGUAUAAUAAUUGACUUCCACUUAAUAAAUAAGGUUACUUGGUACACUGGUCGACAAAAC
This 486-nucleotide long non-coding RNA is filed under the name Homo sapiens (human). RNAcentral describes it as "non-protein coding MIR663AHG:17". Lineage: Eukaryota; Metazoa; Chordata; Mammalia; Primates; Hominidae. The record is from RNAcentral.